UGACCGCUGUGAUGACACCGCGGUGAGUAGACCUAAGUACGUCGACUUUAGCUACGUUUUUCACAUAGCUGAAGUUGCUUAACUUAGAUCAAUCCCCCUACCUAGUGUAGACCAGGCCUAA
Molecule: long non-coding RNA, 121 nt
Organism: Dermochelys coriacea (leatherback sea turtle)
Lineage: Eukaryota; Metazoa; Chordata; Testudines; Dermochelyidae
Exons: 3
Source: RefSeq, a predicted model, not a curated record